GAUGAACGCUGGCGGCGUGCCUAAUACAUGCAAGUCGAGCGAACGGACGAGAAGCUUGCUUCUCUGAUGUUAGCGGCGGACGGGUGAGUAACACGUGGAUAACCUACCUAUAAGACUGGGAUAACUUCGGGAAACCGUAGCUAAUACCGGAUAAUAUUUUGAACCGCAUGGUUCAAAAGUGAAAGACGGUCUUGCUGUCACUUAUAGAUGGAUCCGCGCUGCAUUAGCUAGUUGGUAAGGUAACGGCUUACCAAGGCAACGAUGCAUAGCCGACCUGAGAGGGUGAUCGGCCACACUGGAACUGAGACACGGUCCAGACUCCUACGGGAGGCAGCAGUAGGGAAUCUUCCGCAAUGGGCGAAAGCCUGACGGAGCAACGCCGCGUGAGUGAUGAAGGUCUUCGGAUCGUAAAACUCUGUUAUUAGGGAAGAACAUAUGUGUAAGUAACUGUGUACAUCUUGACGGUUCCUAAUCAGAAAGCCACGGCUAACUACGUG
RNAcentral lists this ribosomal RNA (497 nucleotides) under uncultured bacterium. Its description in RNAcentral is "partial 16S ribosomal RNA". It matches the Rfam family "Bacterial small subunit ribosomal RNA", at positions 28 to 507 of the family's 1533-position model. The record is from RNAcentral.